ACUUGAAUAGCUUAAUAUAAAGCGUAACACUGAAGUUGUUAAAAUAAGGUUAUACCUUUCUAAGUA
Molecule: transfer RNA, 66 nt
Filed under: Valentia hoffmanni
Lineage: Eukaryota; Metazoa; Arthropoda; Insecta; Hemiptera; Reduviidae
Description: tRNA-Phe
Rfam family: tRNA
About the family: Transfer RNA (tRNA) molecules are approximately 80 nucleotides in length. Their secondary structure includes four short double-helical elements and three loops (D, anti-codon, and T loops).
Source: RNAcentral